RNAcentral lists this long non-coding RNA (665 nucleotides) under Arabidopsis lyrata. RNAcentral's name for it is "long non-coding RNA (ALYR_LNC003374)". The record is from RNAcentral. Lineage: Eukaryota; Viridiplantae; Streptophyta; Magnoliopsida; Brassicales; Brassicaceae.
AGUGAGUUCUGAAAAGCAUUGUAUCAUUCUCUCCAACACCGAAAUAAGACUUUUGUAGUGAAUUCUGAAUCUAUUAUAUCAAAUAUGAACAAAACAACAAUAAUUUAAGCAAACCACAACACUCCUCAACCAGGUAACUCAUGUUCUUUGACUCUAAUGGAAAUUAGUUUUAAUAAGUUUCAUCAAUCUGAAAAUCAGAAAUUAAUUCUACAAGUAUCUAGAAAUUAGAUUCUCCAUUUCAAUUCAUAAUAUACAAAACUCAGUAAAACAAAAAACAAAAUUUUUUUUGAAAGAUCGUACACAGUAAUAAAUCUAUUCCUUAAUCUAUAUCUUACAGAAAAUCAGGGAAUAUGGAUAUUGUUUGAACAUGAGACAUGAACUCUAUCUCUUGGUCACAACGAAGAAGAUCAUCGAGAACUGAAGUAGAUUUAGAACGAUGGUUUGUGUGUCGUCUCACCUUCGAUCCGAUGCAAAUUAGAUACUCAUCCCCUUUAAUCAAUCGAUUAAUCCACAUGCAAGUAGCCUGAUUACAUAAAAACUCCAAAAUCAUAAGAACGGUUGAAGAAGACGAGAAGAUUCUCAAAAGAGAUUCUUAUUUUAUUUUCUAAUGCAACAUUUUCUGUUUUUUCAUAGAUAUUUCAAAUAAAAGUCCAAAGGGUAAAAUA